RNAcentral lists this transfer RNA (72 nucleotides) under Phycisphaerae bacterium. RNAcentral's name for it is "tRNA-Gly". It matches the Rfam family "tRNA". Rfam says of the family: Transfer RNA (tRNA) molecules are approximately 80 nucleotides in length. The record is from RNAcentral. Lineage: Bacteria; Pseudomonadati; Planctomycetota; Phycisphaerae.
GCGGGUGUAGCUCAGUGGUAGAGCGUCACGUUGCCAACGUGAAUGUCGACAGUUCGAAUCUGUUCACCCGCU